Molecule: ribosomal RNA, 497 nt
Filed under: uncultured bacterium
Lineage: Bacteria
Description: partial 16S ribosomal RNA
Rfam family: Bacterial small subunit ribosomal RNA
Source: RNAcentral
GAUGAACGCUGGCGGCGUGCCUAAUACAUGCAAGUCGAGCGAACGGACGAGAAGCUUGCUUCUCUGAUGUUAGCGGCGGACGGGUGAGUAACACGUGGAUAACCUACCUAUAAGACUGGGAUAACUUCGGGAAACCGGAGCUAAUACCGGAUAAUAUUUUGAACCGCAUGGUUCAAAAGUGAUAGACGGUCUUGCUGUCACUUAUAGAUGGAUCCGCGCGGCAUUAGCUAGUUGGUAAGGUAACGGCUUACCAAGGCAACGAUGCAUAGCCGACCUGAGAUGGUGACCGGCCACCCUGGAAGUGAGCGUACGUCCAGACUCCUACGGGAGGGAACAGUAGGGAAUCUGCAGCAAUGCGCGCAGACCUGACGCAGCCACGGGGCGUGAAGCAGGAGGUGCCUCGGAUCGUAAAACACUGUUAUUCGGGACGACCAUAUGUGUACGUGCCUGUGCACAUCUUGACGGUACCUAAUCAGAAAGCCACGGCUAACUUCGUG